RNAcentral lists this ribosomal RNA (253 nucleotides) under uncultured bacterium. Its description in RNAcentral is "partial 16S ribosomal RNA". It matches the Rfam family "Bacterial small subunit ribosomal RNA", at positions 524 to 776 of the family's 1533-position model. The record is from RNAcentral.
GACGUAGGGCGCGAGCGUUGUCCGGAAUUAUUGGGCGUAAAGAGCUCGUAGGCGGUUUGUUGCGUCGGCUGUGAAAUCCCGAGGCUCAACCUCGGGUCUGCAGUCGAUACGAGCAAACUAGAGUGUUGCAGGGGAGACUGGAAUUCCUGGUGUAGCGGUGAAAUGCGCAGAUAUCAGGAGGAACACCGGUGGCGAAGGCGGGUCUCUGGGCAACAACUGACGCUGAGGAGCGAAAGCGUGGGGAGCGAACGGG